This 254-nucleotide ribosomal RNA is filed under the name uncultured bacterium. RNAcentral describes it as "partial 16S ribosomal RNA". It matches the Rfam family "Bacterial small subunit ribosomal RNA", at positions 524 to 776 of the family's 1533-position model. The record is from RNAcentral.
UACGAAGGGGACUAGCGUUGUUCGGAAUCAUUGGGCUUAAAGGGCGCGUAGGCGGCGGUGUAAGUUGGAAGUGAAAUCCCAUCGGCUCAACCGUGGAAUUGCUCCCAGUACUGCAUCGCUCGAGGGGGAUAGGGGUUUGCGGAACUACCGGUGGAGCGGUGAAAUGUGUUGAUAUCGGUGGGAACGCCAGUGGCGAAAGCGGCAAACUUGACCCUUCCUGACGCUGAGGCGCGAAAGCUAGGGGAGCAAACGGG